Molecule: ribosomal RNA, 465 nt
Filed under: Vreelandella stevensii
Lineage: Bacteria; Pseudomonadati; Pseudomonadota; Gammaproteobacteria; Oceanospirillales; Halomonadaceae
Description: partial 16S ribosomal RNA
Rfam family: Bacterial small subunit ribosomal RNA
Source: RNAcentral
CCUACGGGAGGCAGCAGUGGGGAAUAUUGGACAAUGGGGGCAACCCUGAUCCAGCCAUGCCGCGUGUGUGAAGAAGGCCCUCGGGUUGUAAAGCACUUUCAGUGAGGAAGAACGCCUGGUGGUUAAUACCCAUCAGGAAAGACAUCACUCACAGAAGAAGCACCGGCUAACUCCGUGCCAGCAGCCGCGGUAAUACGGAGGGUGCGAGCGUUAAUCGGAAUUACUGGGCGUAAAGCGCGCGUAGGUGGCUUGAUAAGCCGGUUGUGAAAGCCCCGGGCUCAACCUGGGAACGGCAUCCGGAACUGUCAAGCUAGAGUGCAGGAGAGGAAGGUAGAACUCCCGGUGUAGCGGUGAAAUGCGUAGAGAUCGGGAGGAAUACCAGUGGCGAAGGCGGCCUUCUGGACUGACACUGACACUGAGGUGCGAAAGCGUGGGUAGCAAACAGGAUUAGAUACCCGAGUAGUC